AACGAACGCUGGCGGCAUGCCUAACACAUGCAAGUCGAACGAGACCUUCGGGUCUAGUGGCGCACGGGUGCGUAACGCGUGGGAACCUGCCCUUAGGUUCGGAAUACCUCCCCGACAGGGGUGCUAAUACCGGAUAAUGUCUUCGGACCAAAGAUUUAUCGCCGUUGGAUGGGCCCGCGUUGGAUUAGCUAGUUGGUAGGGUAAAAGCCUACCAAGGCGACGAUCCAUAGCUGGUCUGAGAGGAUGAUCAGCCACACUGGGACUGAGACACGGCCCAGACUCCUACGGGAGGCAGCAGUGGUGAAUAGUGGACAAUGGGCGAAGGCCUGAUCCAGCAAUGCCGCGUGAGUGAUGAAGGCCUUAGGGUUGUAAAGCUCUUUUACCCGGGAUGAUAAUGACAGUACCGGGAGAAUAAGCUCCGGCUAACUCCGUG
Molecule: ribosomal RNA, 433 nt
Filed under: uncultured bacterium
Lineage: Bacteria
Description: partial 16S ribosomal RNA
Rfam family: Bacterial small subunit ribosomal RNA
Source: RNAcentral